AGAGUCGAUCGGACAGUCGCUGCCUUCUUUACUGAAGGGGGAGGAAAGUCCGGGCUCCAUAGGGCGGAGUGCCAGGUAACGCCUGGGAGGCGCGAGCCUACGGAAAGUGCCACAGAAAAUAACCGCCUAAGCGUUUCGGCGCCGGU
Molecule: RNase P RNA, 146 nt
Filed under: Aquipseudomonas alcaligenes
Lineage: Bacteria; Pseudomonadati; Pseudomonadota; Gammaproteobacteria; Pseudomonadales; Pseudomonadaceae
Description: Pseudomonas alcaligenes partial RNase P RNA component class A
Rfam family: Bacterial RNase P class A
About the family: Ribonuclease P (RNase P) is a ubiquitous endoribonuclease, found in archaea, bacteria and eukarya as well as chloroplasts and mitochondria. Its best characterised activity is the generation of mature 5'-ends of tRNAs by cleaving the 5'-leader elements of precursor-tRNAs.
Source: RNAcentral